RNAcentral lists this long non-coding RNA (2673 nucleotides) under Daucus carota (carrot). RNAcentral's name for it is "long non-coding RNA (DCAR_LNC007183)". The record is from RNAcentral. Lineage: Eukaryota; Viridiplantae; Streptophyta; Magnoliopsida; Apiales; Apiaceae.
CAAAAUCUUUUAAAGAGAAAGUAGGUUGGAUAUAUACUUGCCUUUGGUCCUUAGCUUAUACACUCUUAGCUAACAUCCUUAUCUUAAUAUGCUUUCUCAAGACAUCACCCUCAACUAUUCCUGAUUCUCUGCUAUGGUGCUCAUGCGGUUGCUGCAGCAUGAUACGACAUCUUAUCUAACUUCAGUCUUGAUCCCCAACGUCUGGUUCUACUCGUCUCGAACAAUCCGUAACUACUGAACCGCUAUACAACUCUCACCUUUUCUUGCCUUUGCUUGGUAUCACGCCCUCAAUGCUCGAUCCUAUUAUAAGCAAAAAGAUACUACUUUAGUAUCCUUCCGAAACGACUAUCCUAUUUCUACCCUUUUCGUGAUAUAUAUGUACAUAUACAUACAUGGCACAUUAUAUAGCACAUAACAAGUAGCACACGUUAUAGUUUUAUAACUUACAACCAACUCAGAAUAUUAUUUAACACGAGAACACGUAACUUAAGUUAAUAUUUCUACAGAAAAUUCGGCAUGACCUAUUCGUAAAUAGGACUAUCCCACUGUUUUCAAAUCAAGCUCUUUAAACUAAAUAAAAUACUAAUAUAAAGAAAAUCUGCCUCGACAUGCAGUAAAUCACAUAAGAAAAGUACCCGCCCCGACAUGCGGCACCUAACACAUAUUGAUAAAUAAUCCGCCCAGACAUGCGGCACCUAAACACAUAAUGAUUGAAAGAAACUAACAGCUUAUCUUUAAAACGGAAAGUAACUCAAUAUUAAUACAUUAUACUAUCAAGAAUAAUACUCUAACAUUUAACACGUAGCACUUAGCAGGUAUCACAUAUUUCCAUACAUUUACUUACCACCUACCAUAAUACUCAAUUUAGAUACUAUUCAAUUCAGAAUUGCAACUUGAGUUAGAUAAUCAUAGCAGUUCAAUUCUACACGCAAAAUCAAAUAUUAAUAGGCAAAGCAUUUUAACUAUUUAAGAUAUCGCAUAUUUAUAUUAUUAAUAUUAUUAUUUACUAUUAUUAUUACUAGAGAAAGUAAUAAUAAUAAUAAAGAAUAAUACUAAUAUACAUUAAUAUUCGACAUCCUAAAAUUACCAAGUAAACACAGUUCCGCACAUUAUCAUCAGUAAUAAUGCUAUAUAUUACUGGUAUUACUACCAAAUCACAUAAAUAUUAUUUAUAGAUUUAUAAAAAUAUCACGAAUCGGUAGCUAUAGAAAUUCGAUUAAUAGUCCGAUAACUAUAGGAUAUGCUCCCAUAUAAUUUAAAAUCUAAUUUUAUUUGAAAAUCGGGCAGCACCUCCUCUAUUUAUCGGACUACCAGUCGAUAUCAUAUCGACACAACAAAUCCCAACAAAACCUGUAAUCAAUCCGAAUAACUUACUUUAUAACUACCAUCCAACAAUCAAUACUCAACCCAACGAACCAACAACCGAAAUAAUAAAUAAAAGCGUAUAAAAUCAGUUUUAUGACUCUAGCCACACCACGAAUUACACAGCCACAUAACUAAUAACACUCGGAGAACACACACACCCUUCACUAAACCCAGUACACACACUGAUUUACACACAGGACACACACACAAAACGCACACACUCAGUCGAAAUACACACACUGCACACACAUAUACACGCGUAUAUACACGCAAUCCCAGUAGCGAAACAAGGCAGGGGAGAGAAGAGAAAGUGAGAGAGAUGGGGAGAAACCCCCGAGAGAGAGGGACUGAGACUGGUGGUGGCUUACGGCCGGCGGCGGCGGCUGAACGGCCGGAAAAGGAGGCGGCGACGGGCGGUGUUGUUCGGGGAGAGAGGCGGCAUGGAGAGAGGGUCGACGGGGAGAGACGACCGAGGGAGAGGGAAAGCCGAGAGAGAGAGCGGCGGGAAAGAGAGAUGAAGGAGAGUGAAGAGAGAUGGUGAGGGAGAGAUUUUGAGAGAGAGCGAUUGAGAGGAGAGAGAUUCACAGAGGUGAGAGACAGUGGGUAGAGAAAAGAGAGUAUAGGAAAUUAAAUAUUUUAAUAAACUGAAGUUUUAGUAACUGGACACGUAUCAACCAAUUUGACACGCGUCUCCUGAUCUGGCUGGCUCCGGACUGAUUUUGACAAAUUAACGAACAGACUCACAGAUAAAAUGAUCCAGAUAAAUACCAAAAUAAUUUUAGAAAUCUUAAAAUAAUUAAAAACUAAUAAAAUAUGAUUUUCAAGAUUUUUGGAUCAUUUUUGAAAUUAAUGGAAACACCCCACUUGAAACUACACAGAAAAUCAUUUAGAGCUGAAUAAUUAACGAAACAUCAAUUUAUGAAUUUUAUAAAUCUCUAAAAAUAUUUAAUGAAACUAUAAAGCGAUAAAAAUGAUUUUAUAUGCAAUACACUAUUUUAUAUAAUUAAAUAAGUGUAAACCAUAACAAAUGCAAAUCGAUAACACAGCUCAACAAUCCAAUAGAAAUAAAAUACACUGACUCUCGAUAAUAUAAUCACAUAAUAAUCAUUUAGAAUUUUUCAAAAUAAUAUAUGAAACUCAUUUUUGAAGGAACAGUUAUAUACCAAUAACACAAUAACCCGGGGUUUAAAUAUAAAAACUUGAAAACUCAUUAAACUAGAAUAAAAUAUUAAAUCUUAUUCUCUUCCUGGAAGAAAAUCACUUUUAUAAUAAUAAAUAGAUUUUAAAAAUCUGGGUCAUUACAANNNN